AGAAGAAGAGAGCCAGUAUUUACUUCUUUGCAAAAACUGUUCACACACAUUUAUCGAACUCGCUAAAGCACCUGACUACGAGAUCCAAGCUUCUGACUGAAACACAGCAACUCAAACAACAAAACUCAGGAGCUCCGCAAUCUCCUGCCCAAAUAUCAAAACUCAAAGUUCUGCUGAUGUCAAAACUGCAAUCUUCCCACCACCGCCCACUUCCUACCAGAAGCUUAGCCUGGAAUCCCGAGCACACACGAGGUAACCACAGCAGGUGCUGGAGCAAGCAGCGGGCAAGGUCCUGUAUGUAUCUUCCUCAGAUGGCUGAGUGUGUGUGCAUCACUUACCUGGGGAAGAGAUGGCACAGGAUACUCUGUGGAAAGAAGGCAAGUCAGCAGAGGCAGUGCAGUGGUCUGAGCAAUGUUCUGCUGGGAAACCUUGAGUCCUGGUAUUCAUGUAGAUGUUACUUUGACACAUACCACCUAAACAUUGGUGCAGACCAAGUACACAAUGGCAUUGCUAAUGGCAACGGUAUUCCCUAAUGGCAGUGGCCGCUUUCAGAUGGAUAACGUGCACUGCUACACUGCAAAAAUUGCAGGAAUGGUAUGAAAAACAUAACAAAGAGUAUAAGAUGUUGAUUUGGCCUCCAAAUUUCCCAGAUCUCAAUCCAAUCUAGCACCUGAAGAUGUGCUGGACAAACAAGUCCGAACCAUGGAGGCUCCACCACACAACUUACAGGAUUUAAAUUAUCUGCUGCUAAUGUCUUGGUGCCAGAUACCACAGCUCACCUUCAGAGGUCUUGUGGAGUUCAUGCCUCGAAGGGUCAGAGCUAUUUUGGCAGCACAGGGGGGACUUACACAAUAUUAGGCAGAUGGUUUUAAUGUUAUGAGUGAUCAUGAAUGUCAGUUAUAUGUAUCGAGCAGAUAUGAUGUUUAAAUUAAUAAUCAGUAUGAUAAGUGCCAGAUCUUGAGCUUUACAGAGAUUGCAUUGUUGUUGAAAAUUUUAUUGUUGUAAUCAUGUUAAAUACAUGUCAUGUACUAAAA
Molecule: long non-coding RNA, 1034 nt
Organism: Ictalurus punctatus (channel catfish)
Lineage: Eukaryota; Metazoa; Chordata; Actinopteri; Siluriformes; Ictaluridae
Source: Ensembl